GACGAACGCUGGCGGCGUGCUUAACACAUGCAAGUCGAACGGAAAGGCCCUGCUUGCGGGGUACUCUAGUGGCGAACGGGUGAGUAACACGUGGGUGAUCUGCCCUGCACUUCGGGAUAAGCCUGGUAAACUGGGUCUAAUACCGGAUAGGUGCCAUCUUUAGUGUGAUGGUUGGAAAGUUUUUUGGGUGUUGGAUGAGCUCGCGGCCUAUCAGCUUGUUGGUGGGGUAAUGGCCUACCAAGGCGGCGACGGGUAGGCGGCCUGAGAGGGUGGACGGCCACAUUGGGACUGAGAUACGGCCCAGACUCCAACGGGAGGCAGCAGGGGGGAAUAUUGCACAAUGGGCGCAAGCCUGAUGCAGAGACGCCGGGUGGGGGAGGACGGCCUUCGGGUUGUAAACGCCGUUCGCUAGGGACGAAGCAUUUUGUGACGGUACCUAGAGAAGAAGCACCGGCUAACUACGUG
RNAcentral lists this ribosomal RNA (465 nucleotides) under uncultured bacterium. RNAcentral describes it as "partial 16S ribosomal RNA". It matches the Rfam family "Bacterial small subunit ribosomal RNA", at positions 28 to 507 of the family's 1533-position model. The record is from RNAcentral.